CUUCGGGCCUGGCGCGGAAAGAUGAGCCGACGUCGGAUUAGCUAGUUGGAGGGGUAAUGGCCCACCAAGGCUACGAUCCGUAGCUGGUCUGAGAGGAUGAUCAGCCACACUGGAACUGAGACACGGUCCAGACUCCUACGGGAGGCAGCAGUGGGGAAUAUUGGACAAUGGGCGCAAGCCUGAUCCAGCCAUGCCGCGUGUGUGAAGAAGGCCUUCGGGUUGUAAAGCACUUUUGUACGGGAAGAAAAGCUCUCGGCUAAUACCCGGGAGUCAUGACGGUACCGUAAGAAUAAGCACCGGCUAACUUCGUGCCAGCAGCCGCGGUAAUACGAAGGGUGCAAGCGUUACUCGGAAUUACUGGGCGUAAAGCGUGCGUAGGUGGUUUGUUAAGUCUGAUGUGAAAGCCCUGGGCUCAACCUGGGAAUUGCAUUGGAUACUGGCAGUCUAGAGUGCGGUAGAGGGUAGCGGAAUUCCCGGUGUAGCAGUGAAAUGCGUAGAUAUCGGGAGGAACAUCCGUGGCGAAGGCGGCUACCUGGACCAGCACUGACACUGAGGCACGAAAGCGUGGGGAGCAAACAGGAUUAGAUACCCUG
RNAcentral lists this ribosomal RNA (593 nucleotides) under Novilysobacter spongiicola. RNAcentral's name for it is "bacterial SSU rRNA". It matches the Rfam family "Bacterial small subunit ribosomal RNA", at positions 207 to 789 of the family's 1533-position model. Lineage: Bacteria; Pseudomonadati; Pseudomonadota; Gammaproteobacteria; Lysobacterales; Lysobacteraceae. The record is from RNAcentral.